This is a long non-coding RNA of Athalia rosae (coleseed sawfly), 14619 nucleotides long. RefSeq lists it as uncharacterized. The record is from RefSeq and is a predicted model, not a curated record. Lineage: Eukaryota; Metazoa; Arthropoda; Insecta; Hymenoptera; Athaliidae. The transcript is spliced from 3 exons.
GAACGGGGAGAAAAAGAAAAAAACGAAAAAUAGUCGUUCCAUGAUAGAAGUAGUCAAAGUAUGGUAUAUUGUAAUAGGUUGCGGUAAUAGGAACUCGGUGUGUAUUUCGCGUGGCGAGACGAUCCGAGCUACAGAGAGACCUUGACCAGAGUCUGGUUAAGUUGCGUUUGAACGGUGUUUGCGGCGUAAGUUAUUCCUUUCACUUCUCGCUGUGGAACCGGUCUGUAGGUCUAGCGCCAGACAGUCGCUAGACAAAUUCUAGACGGUUGUUAGACAACGCUCGGAUACGCUAGACGCGAUAGCCUCGUUCGUUCUACUGACUGACUCCGUACGUAUAUCUGGAAUACAAGGUUAUCGAAACCAAGUUCGAGGCGAGGAACUUUUAACGCCAAGUCAUCGAGCGAUAUAAUACGUGAUUACCGGGGAUCCGGCUACGUCGUAUAACGUAUACGUACACUUAAGAUUUGAGAGCUUCUUCGAGCUUCUUCGGUGGUGAGGAGAAGGGACAAUGGAAAAGAUGAGGACGAAACUCUACGGCACCGGCAGGAUCAGAAUAAGAAUACGAAUGAGAAUAAGAAUAGAGAUGAGGAUCAGGAUUGAAAUGGAACUUAAAUGUCGGAUGACUGUCGCCCGGACUUUAAGCAUGAGUAUAUAGAGGAAGGUAUACGCAUUAACUACCUUUACAUAAGUUACACACAUACUCGAUCACACGUGUUGGAUUUGGAAGCAUCGAAUGUGCCUCCGGUUUCUAAAUAUUUUUUACAGAUCGUCGAUGGGCAAUUUCCCGUUGCAAUCGAUGCACUCGAUCGAUUUUCGUUAUAAUUUGCCAAUUUUUUUUGGAACUCUAACAAUUUAUCGCAAAUUACGAGUUACACCGCCGCUCUCUUCUUGGCUCGUAUGAUUUUCUCCUCUUACGUCGAUAACAACAAUAAUCAUUAAAAUUAUAAUACAAUUAUUCUACGUCGCCAGCUCUCACCUGCGCUGUUUUAUGAAACGAUAUGCACCUGCCGCUGAUGCGGAGAUAAUAAUUAAAUAUGAUUAUUGUCGCGUAAUAAUUUUGGCUGAUUUUCUUCCCACUUUAUUUUCUUCUAUGUUUUUUUUUUUUUUUCUCUCCUUCUUUUUCCGCCGACACUCCGUCGAAAAUGUACACAAAAUUUUACAUCCGCACGGACGAGAAAAAAAAAAAAAAAAAAAAAAACACAGAGCGAAUUUCGUGCGACUCAAAGUUUUUCAUCGCAUCACAGGGAAGUGCACCACCGGCUAAAAUGCAUAAUGACGUCUAUGCUACGCGCAUAUAUUGUUCAAUACUCAUAUACGUCGGUGCGGAGGUAGGCAGCUGAGUGUAGUUUUUGGGUUUUGACUUUCUAAUAUCGCAUGUCAUAACGGAGACGAAAAUGUCUCUCGCGUUGCGUAGCGACGUCGCGCGUAGCGUCUUCUCGCUCGAUUGUAACGUGCGAAGCAAAAUUUUUGAAGAAAUUUCUCACGCAUUUCCACGUCAUUAGGAUGUUCCCCCGGCGUGUACACACGUCACGUGUAUAUUUAUAAAACGUAAAUGGUACGCGCGUAUGUGUUGAACCCCGUUUCAGUGGGAAUCUAAAGCUCCGCAAUUGUGGCUGAAACCCCGUCGCUCCAAGACAGAUGGUCGGUGUCGCUCUUCUUCCCUUGAAAUGAGAGAGCUACGAACCUAUACAUACACGUACACGUAGCUAUAUAUCCCCGUGUAUACGUAACGUUAACCCAUAUUUCAUUAUUUCCGUAAGUAGAGCAACAACGGAAUUUCUCCGCUGUACUAACUUCUGCAACGCCAAAUCUGACGGCGCCAAAUGAAGAAAAAAAAAAAAUAUAUAUAUAUAUGACAAACAGGAAACGAAACAACGGAAUGAAGAGAGACACAGAUGUUUCGUUUCGAUGCGUCUGGCCAGGACUAGCCGCAAUGCAAAUAGCGGAAAGAAAAAAUUAGGAUGGAAAAAAAAGAACCGAGCGAAACGAGAGGGAGACAAAAAGCGAGAGAUGCAACUCUCACGAUGGCGGGUUCGAACGUCGUUCGAAUCGAACAUACCCCGACGCAAGCAGAAAUCAGAGGAUUUGGGAUCGAUCUUCGAAUACUUUGCGAAAAUUCAUCGCACCCUGCAAAUACGGUAUCCAUUUUAUUAAUAACGUCGUUACGAUUUUUCGUAUCUUCUUUUUCUUCUUCUCUUCUUAUUUGAGAGUCACUGUUAUUAAGGAGCUGCACAGCUGGCAGCAUCAUCUGCCUUGCAUCAUUUCUGCCAUCGUUAUAUAUACACUUUGGUACAGUUCGAUCAGAGAAUUAAACGAAAUGAACGUGGGUGGCUGAUAAAAAUUGCUAUCUUUGCGGGGAGAAAAUUUUCGCAUCCUAUUUUCGACGUAGAAAAAAUUUCGGCAAUUGGGUGCUGGACGAGAUUUUUUUUUUUUUAUAAAAAAAAAAAACAAGGUUCAAAAAAAGACGUCGCUAGGGUUGAAUGAAUAAUUAUUUUAAACGGGGUGGUUAUUUAUGUAUAUCGUUCGUAAAUGAACAUUGAAUAUUCAGAACGUGGUAUACGUGCACUAUGUGCGGUACAAACGCAAAGUCGUAAUACACAUAAUGCUCGAAACUGUGCGGCCGCGUGUACGGAAUGUAAAUUAUUUUUUUUUCAAAAUCCUCAUCGUGUACAUGGACACGGAAAAUAGUGGGUAUUAUGUACUAUACCUAUCCAGCGCGAUUGUUUUCCCAUAACGAAUUUUUUAUUUCCAUACAAAUAUGAAUAAGCAAUUUAUCUUUCAUUUAUAACUCCAUAGUCGCGUUCAUUCCAGUUUUAUGCACGAACGCAGUUCGCAACGAUGUACAUAAAUUUGGAAUUGAAACUCUGCUCGCCUUUGAUUGUUUUAUUUUAUUUUAUUUCAUUUUUUUUUUCUCGUUAUACCCGAAAUAUUUUACACUAAAUAAAUCAUAAAAAUAUUUUUUUCUUUUCUCGCGACGUCGUUUUUUUUUUUUUUUUCUUUUCUUCAUUCUAUAACUUCAAUUUUUCACUCUUUAUUUUCGAAUAAUAUUAGAAUCAAAGAAAGGAGAGAGAAGACUGCAGUCGAAUUUAAAAAUUUGUCGAUCAACAUCGUAGUUUUUCUUUACGUCAUUGUAAUAUAGUGAAAGCGAGAAAUCGAUAUUCAUUUAUACGUACGAAAAUGAUCGUCGGAUUUGUGGGUAAAUGCAAAUUGUAAUAAAUAUAUAUUUGCUUACGGUAACAUACAUAUUCUAUGCACAUACGACAUAUGUGCACCUGAUGAUUGUGAACAUAAUGGAAAAAAAAAAAAAAAAAUCAUACAUAUCAAAUCAAAUAAAAUACAAAAACAGACAAAUGUAAGAAGCAGGUAUUUGCGCGCAAAAUUUAUUUCGAAACACAUGUACACGUUAUAUGAUAAUAGUGAUUCCCGCGUAAUUCGUCAAGCAAACGGAAGUUGCAUCGCUAAUUUAUAAAACUUUUUCUCUUUUCAUUUCGGCUUUCAUUUUUAACGAGGGAGGUCAACAGAUUUAAAUACAAUCAAUCCCAAUUUAACAUUAGAUCAACGCGCGUACGAAUUCUUUUACAAUUCCUUUUUUUAUUUUCUUCAUUUCUUGCCCCUCCCCCCCUCGAUCUUUUCGAUGUCAGGAGUAACUUUCCAAAUGAUCGAAUAAUUGAUGACACUUCUUUUUUUUCUUUAAUUGUUUUAUUUGAUUUUAUUUCCCAUUUUUUAAACAUACUUUUUGACUUUUCGGUAUAGGAGACGCAUUUUUUUUUUUUCGUAUGCAAAAAAGAAAAUUAAAUAAAAUGAAAAUCUACGUGUGUAGGUGUAUGCAUAUUUCACACGAGUUAGCGGCACUGCACUCCGAGGAACUUUGCCAAUCUUUUUUCCAUUUUUAUAUAUUUCUUCCGAGCUAUUCGGAUGGGGGUUUAGAUCGCUGUUUUUAAACUCAAGUGUGUAAGAAAAUACCGUCAACGCUUUUUUUAUUGUUAUUUAUAUUGCAAUUGAUUUCUUUCGAGUGUAAAUUGCACUUAUACUGCGUCUCAUACAUCGGGAGUAAUAAAGAAACCAGAAAAACUAUUUAAAACAACCAAAUAUCCAGAGCGAAUUGAGAGUUCCAGUUAAUGGCAGUAAGCCAAUAGAAAAUGCGUUCGGGAAAUUGCGUGUUUCGUCUGUAAGAAAACAUAUUUUAGACUCCAACGCAUUUAGCGAAAAAUCAUCUCAACAUCGCGUCUAAACUCGCUACUUAUCUCGCUGCAGUUGAGACUAUGCGAUACAAAUAGACGCUCUUAUCUUCAAGCUUAAUAAGAAUAAUAACUGAUAAAGAAUUACUGGAACUACAUACUUUCAUCUUAUUCUUUUUUCUCAUUUUUCUUUUUUAUUCUUUCUUAUCUCUCUCUCUAAUUCGCUCGUUCGUUGAGUAUACGUUACACGGAUACCGAUCGAAGCGUGCGAAAGAUGAGAGAAUUUUUUUUCUUUUUUUCUUUUCAUCUCUUCUCUUUUGAUUUUUCAAUAUGCGCUGGAUUAUUCGACUCGCUCUUUUUCUCGCAAGAUGAGAAGCGGCAAAUAAUAAUCGCGAGCGUGUAAACUCGAAUCGUACCUGCACUAUUUUGUGUACCUUGCACAUACCUCGCGCUCCAAUUAUUCCCGUUGCACCGCGGCGCGUGCAAAAUUUUUUGGAAAAAAAAUUUUCCAAUGUUUAUCGUACGCGUGUCAACGUCCUCUGCGUUUUGAAUGGUGCCUCGAAAAUACAUAUUUCUUUAGCUCCAUAGCGUGUACAGAGUGGACGUGUGUCAAAGAAUUUGACACGCACCCGUCAAAAGUGCAGUUGAAUAAAUUGAAUCGAUCAAUAAUUUUUGAGUGGCGAGGGGCCCACCGGGGGGGAGAAUCGACGCUAAAUGUGAAAGAGAAUUAUCAAAAUUUUAUGAUAUCGAACGACAACAUAAUCGCGCGAUUCUUUCGAUUGGAUUAUAUAAAAUGUCACGCAAAUUUCGUCGUCCACAUUCUGCUCGAUCGAAGUAGCUGAGAUUCUAUCCAAUACGGGGGUAGCUAUAUUUGACAUCGGUUGACAGAUAUUUUCACGAUAAUCGAAGGGAACCAAAAAAACACAUUAAUAAAUCAACGAAUUGGAUAAAUUUUUUUAUGGCCACCGUCGAUCGGGCGCAGUAUGAAAUUUUCCCCUCUUUCGAACAUCGGUAUUUUCAGAAUCGGUGAAAACCCGGAAAAGGAAAAACGUAAAAAAUGAAAAAUUGUUUUUUCGCAUUUCGGAUUCGGAUGGGCGAAGAUCGGCGAGCUCGUCCGGUGGGUUUAACCCGAAUCGUUGCGAAGCUCGCGUGUGCAAGCUACGUGGGUAUAUCUAAUAUUAUAUAUUUGUAUCGGUCGGAAUUGAGAAUCGGGAAUUGAGCACACACUGCACCGAAACGGCAACAGCAGCGGCAGAGGCAGAGGCAGAGGUAGUAGAACGGUCUAAGGCAAUUGCAGCAGCAGCAGCAGCAGCAGCAGCAGCGGCGAACUCGUCGUGUUGGGCGUCGGGGUUAAUGUACCCGGUCAGCCUUGGCAUGGAUCGAGUCUAGCAAUGCGAAAGUCAGGUUAGCAUGUAUAUAGCGGCGGUGAGACUAGAGGGAACAAGACCGUUAAUGUUAUCCAAUGAGUUAAAGGAGGAAGGAAAUACAUGCAAUUCUGCAUCGCUGCGUUUUAACCGGGCUGCAGGCGAGCCGGAGCGCGAGCGAGUCGGAAGCAUCGAGUCGGAGGGAGAUGAAAUACCGAGGAAAGAGAAAACGACACUUCGUACGUUCGAGAUAGUAAGAGAUGAUGAUAAACACCGGGGUGGGGGCCACGUGUAACUUUUGAAAAAAACCAAGCUGCUAUAAGACCAGGCGCGGGCCCCCUUCCGCCGCCACUGUGCAAUGCAUAGAGAACUUGCCAGUUUAUCUAUACUUCAAACGUCUAGUGCUGCAGUUCUACGAUUCUUCGCCGACAACGACGACGACAACGACGAAAAGAAAGAAAAAAAAAAGCCAAAAAAGAACAAAUUUAAACAAUCCAAACAAAAAAAAAAAACAACCAAACCAACCGAAAAAUCGUCGCGUUCUAAAAAAUCGACGGAAAACCGAAGAAGAGAAACAAAAAAUACUUAAAUUAUACAAUUAAAUCGAUUACACAACGACGCGUACUCUUCUCAUUUCCCUACCGUCAAAAGUCGAGCGAAAUUGAUUUUAUCUUAAAAAUUUUCUUCUUUUUUGUUUUUUCCCUUCUGGGAGGGGAGGGGAGUUUUAAAAUUGGCGAAUAUUUUGUGGCUAGGGACCGUCCCGACAGGACGACGGUGCGGGGUGCGGUUGACUUUGGCAUAUGUACAUGUAUUAUAUUGCACACGUUGGUACGCGAUGCGACGCGAUGCGCCGAAUAGAGACGGGAUAAACGAAAUAUAUUAUGUACACAUAUAUAUAUAUAUACAUAUGUAUAUUAUGUACAAGUGUAUAAGUACGGAGGCAUGCAUGCAUCUGUCCUACUUACGAAAUUCUAUAUGGUAAGCUUUGCGUGUCGAGAAUUGCAGCGAAAUUAUUUCGUAUAACUAUAGAAAACCCGGCUCAAACUGCAUCUACACAUACGAGAAACGAUUCUGCAACGACUCGAGAUGCGUACGUGGUGUACACACGCGCGCACACACACACACGUAGUACCUUAGUACGUGCAUAAUAAUAUUAAGAAUAUGUGCAACGUCGGGAAUGUAACGUAAAAUAUUAAAACACUCGGCCUAUCGUUCGUUUUUAUACGUCUUUAAAAAAAUGGGAAAAAAGAAGGGAAUGAGAGAAAAACGAAUUACAUCGCUCACACGUAUAAUUGAGAGUGGCAAUAGUUACACGGACACGAGUCGUACGAUUUGAACGUGUCCGUUGAUGAUUUUUUCUUCAAUUCAUUUAUUUAUUACCGUUAUUAUUUUUGCAAAAUAAAAUUAAAAAAAAAAAAACAAAUUUUAACACUUUCACUGCAACUGACGCGCCUCGGACGUGAUUCAUCGAGAAUUUCAUGUGCAAACAAUUGUCUCUCUUUUAUUUUUCAUUUCGUUCAGUCGUUGGUUGUUUUUUUUUGUUGGGAGAAACGAAAAAAAUUUCGCUUCGGAUGCAUCGUUCGUCUAUUUUACGCGUGAAAUGAAAUUGGCAUCUUUUUUUUCAAAAAUUGACGCAGUACAGUUGCGUCGAAUGAUAUUUCUAUUUCCGUUUUACCCUCGUCAUUGUAAACGCCUUUAUUAAAAUUCGCGUACAUUACGUUAUCAAAAUUCAGUGGGCGGUGUAUAAAAUGAAUCUAUAAAAGCUGAAAAAAGUGCAAAUAUCCUGCUGCCGAUUGAGGUCUAAUUAUGAAAGGCGUAUGAAAAUAAUCAGUGCAAUAUAAGUGUUAUGCGGUUGAUGACCGCACCUAAAAACCACGUCCAUGCGAGGAUUAAAAAUUCGGUCCGUAGAAAUAUUUUUUUUUUCCACCUUUGAUUCCGAAGCGAAUGUAACACCGCGCCCCUGAUACCAAUUACAUUAUUCGACGAAUGAGAAUAAAAAAUCGCGUCGAACGAAAUCGGAAACUUCUGCGUCCCUUGCUUUUGAAUCUAAAAAAUUCGACACCGUUCGGAGAAUUUUUUAUGAAAAACUAAAAACUGAACGAUAGGGAUGCACAUCCGUGACGUUCGUCCGUUCGUUUUCUGAUUUUGUGUUUGGUGCUUUUUUCUAUUUUUUUUUUUUUAGUUUUUGCAUAAUAGUAAAAAGCGUAAAAUCUAGGCUGCAGAUGUAAAAAAGUAUUUCAACGUACAGUGUACGCAGCGCAUCGCGGAAUCGAACAAAGAGAAUGGCGUGGUCCGAGUUUGAUCAGUGGAACGAGCUUUCCAGCUGCGGUACUCGAUACUUUUGAUUUACUUGAUUUUUUUUUUUUUUUUUUUUUUUAUCCCCGUUUCCAUCGCGUUUUUUCGCAUCGCAAUUUUUCGAUUUUCCUAUUACACCUGAACAUUAUACGUCUCUCGAUAAUGAAAUCAUCGCAACUCCGGUUCGACCGGACUUUUUCGAUUCUAUUUGAGAUUUUGGUUUUUCGUGCAAAAAAGUUUUCUCUCUUUUUCUCCAUUGAAAUUAAUUGUGAAAAGUUUUAAAGUGUGGCUUGUAGGUAUAUUUCGUGUCUGCAGUUCGUUAGGAAUCGGAAAACCUUGUAUAGCUUUAUUCCUCGAGGAGAGUUACCUACGUGUAUAUCCGGUUCCGUUAAAAGUUUACUUCAGAGAUAUAUGAAACUACGUGAAACGUGAGUCUUGAAAUAAGAAGAUUGAAAUUCUAAGCUCGGUGUAAUACAGUAGGAGUGUUGAAAAUCGACAAAUUAAAUGUUGAGAGGAAACUUAAGCUGUCGCAAAUUUUCACCGUUGAAGUGUGAGAGAAAAAAAGGAGUGAGGAACGAGUGAAAAGAACAAAACAAGUGAUUCGAUUGGUUGGAAAAUAUUUGUGAAAUGUGCGCGAACCGUAACGCGGCGGCAUAAAAUACAAGAAAUUGGGAAAAGAAGAAGAGAGAUGUUAAAAAUCAUUCGGAAAUCGGAGUGUCUACUUUUGGAGAGAAAACGAUGAACUCGUUUUCUUCAGAAUUCUUUAUAAACAUAUUUCGCUCAUUGUCGUCCGCAUGGCGCGCAUUACAAUAAUUGCAAAUAGCUCAAUUGUAGUAAAAUUUGACUGCUGAGGUCGUUAUCCGCAACGUAUAUAUAUACGCACCCGCUGCUUUCGUACUGCACGUCUAUAUUUCGUAUAAAAUUUACAUUUAUUUAAAAUACACUUCGAUUUGUUUGUUAUUCCUAAUGCACCGAACGGCGGCCGUGACCCCCUCGUAAUAUACGGUUAAAGUUUAAAAACCUCAUCUCAACGACAAAUAAAAUAAAGAAAAAUUUCUGUUUUCAGGAUAUAUAAAAAUAUACCGUAAUAAAUUGACAUAUUAUAAUAUAAUAUUUAAUCGUCAUUCGAAACCUCGCCGAUAUGCACCCGAGACCAUCGUAUAAACGCCAUUGAUUAAAAAAACUUGUUUUUUUCAUCGGAUGCGAAAUUAUACACUACGGUGACUCGUUCUUAUCCAAUUCAAAAAUUAUUCUUUUCGAAUUGAGAAAAAAAAAAAACACCUUUCUACAGAUUUUUGUUUUUCAAUAAAUAUUCUCAAUAAUCCAUACUUCAAAUCUCACGAACGAACGGAGUGAUAACGUGAACUAUACUUUGAUAUUUAACUAAUUUGAACUUUUAUUUUCUGUGCCUGAAAAAAACGAAGUACGUGGAGUAGAAAAAUCUAUUCUCAUUUCUAUUUCGGUUUCUUGGAUCGGCGACAAAAAAUUCAUGUCAAUAAUUCUGCUGCACGGGGUGUAUUUUCAAUUUUUCAUUCUCGAUUUUUCAUACGCCCAAGGACACGUGUGUGGUAAGAUUGGAACAGAGCAGACGUUGUUCAUUAUAUUAUAGUCGUACUGAAUAGAAAUCGGAGUGGCAGCACGUUAUUGCAUUAUUUAGUCGCUUCGGUUAAGCGGCUCUUUCGGAUCACCACCACUUAACACGUCCGUGGACAAACGUGCUUUGAAAAAAAAAAUUAAAAAAAAAGCGACGAAAAAAAAAACAACCAGAAAAAGACCGUCAUUGGCUCUCGUGUUGACAUUUCAACCCUCGUAUUUUCAUUGCGCGCUAAAAAAUUUUUUAACACCACGAAUAUCGUCGACCGUAUCUCUAGACCACGAGCUUGCACACACGAGUGCACGAGUUUCACGUACGGUGAGAAAUUCCUGAUGGACAAAAUUUACAGAGCACCGCAGUUCGGAAGAAAUAUCCUAAUGCGUCUUUGUCCCGAUGCGAGAAACUUCUCCUCCCUCUUCUUCUCCGUCUUCUUCUCGUCUUCUUCUUACCGAUCUUCGGGGCUUAGCUUACUUUUCUGUUUAGAGAAAGUCAAACACUGCGUGGGCCCGAAGGACGCGACAAAUUUGCAUCUCUUCUCCGACGAAAAUGCAUGGAUGGAAGACAGAAGAGAAAAAACAAAAAAAAAAAAAAGGAAAAAGGAAAAAGAAGUAAAGUAGAAGAGGAAACAUCUCCGACGCGACGAUUCGUUAUUCUCCUCACGAAUUUACUGCACCUCUCUCACCUAUCCGUGCAUACCUCGUCGUACAAUGAAAUUUCAAUAUUUUCCUGCGUUCGUUUUAGAACACUCGAUCGUAAUUUUUUUUCUCUUUUUAGUUUUCAAUUUCGCGCGGUGCUCAAUGAAGAAUCUCGCUACCCGUUCGUGAGUGGCUGUGACGAGGACGUCACUUUUCUCGCUAGAGUUUAAUGAAAAAUUAACGAUUUUAAAAGCAGGUGAUUGUUUUUUUUUUUUUUUUUUUGAUCAAUUCACAGAUCUACGCAGCUCGUUUAAUUUUCAUCCGUGCAGUACCUACGGGUUGAUGACUCGAUUAUAAUAGUUGGUUAUUUUCUGUAAUUAACAUUCGAAAGACAGCCGAUGCACACGAUGGGGCGAUACGGUUCGGAGUUGCGGAGAGGACAUCGACCCUGCACCCGCCAGUUUGGACUACCGAAAACUGCACGUUAUACAUAUAAUGUAACAUACAUACGUAUACGCGUAGGUACAUACAGGUGUACAUAUAUAUGUAUAUCUCUAUGUACGUAUGUACGGUGAGUGAGUAUAUUACAGCGUUAAAUGCGAAUACAGCAACAAUAGCUGACUUCCAAACAAGUAUGAUAAUGCAAGUUAUAUUAACGUACGAAGCUCGUGUUGUAUUAUAGUGACAGCCCCGAACGAUGCAGCGUACGGGGUGUUCCGCGUACGUCGACUAGCCUAUUUUUUCAUUCCAUCGAUGGUUUUUUUUUUUAUUUAAAAUUCCCCUCUUCGAAACGGCUGGUGAGAUAGAUUAGCUAAUUGUCAUGACCUGCAAUCCUUUUUUUUGGUUUCAAAAAAUCCUCACCUGCCAUUAGUAAUUGAAUCGUUUUUGAGCGAACGUAAAAUAAAGAAAUAAAAAGAGCGAUUUUCCGAGCUUUUUCGUUGCUGCACUCAGUGAUAUUAGAUGUGCAUGUUUACAGCUUGUUUCCGGCAUAAUUAUCAGAGUGAAACUCGUUUAUUGGAGAGAUAAGAUGUACGCCGUCCUGUUGCACCGUACAUUAAACGUUGAAGUACUAAAUCUGCACUUUUUUUUCGCCGCGAAAAAAAAAAAGGAAAAAAAAAAAACAAUUCCCCGUUACAAAUCGUUGCACUUAAUAACGAACAAUUUAAUCACGUCAAAUUACACAUUGCGUAUACGCGCAGUAAUUUUUUAUUCAUUCAUUUAUUUGUUAUUUUUUAUUUUUUUUUCUUUUUUUUCUCGUUCUCACCGCAGAAUAAUCGAUGCAACUGCAACGAGAGAAAGAAAGAAAAAUGAAAAAAAAAGACCCUCUCGAUUCGAACAACCAUAUUCGUAUUUGCGUACGUGCAUAUAUGGGUGAAAAUUGUUCUGAUUCUCUGCACUUUUUUCGGAACAACUCGUUCGUUUUUUAUUUUUUCUCCGCUACACCCACCCUUCGGCGUAGGUGGUGUAGAAAUAUGUACGAGGGUUGUUGCGAGCCCCGCAAAAUAGCCGUGUAGCAUGUGAAUUGAUAUCUGUGUCUAUAUAUAGCCGUAUAGAUCGGGACAAAGAGUGAUAUAAGGUAUACAAGAAAACGCUUUGAUACGCAACCAUUUUACGCACCCUUGCAGAUCUAUUUUACCGCACCACCGAACACUUGUAAAAAAAAAAAAAGGAAAGAAAAGAAACGAAAAGAAGAGAAAAGGAGAGAAAAAAAAAUAUAUUUUUUACCCGUAUCAUUCGUUGUACGUGAAAUACCGUAGUGAGCGUACAUGCAAAAUUCAAGCUGUAGAAAUGAAUAAAUUGAAGAAAAAAAAAAUAGGGAAAAAUGAAGCAGAUCCGUCGACGUUAGCGUGAGUCUUUUUUGUAGAAAAUUUCAUACGUCAAGUGGCAUUAUUUCUUUUUUCUCGCUAGAAGAUUCUAGAGGAAUGGAAAUAUGUGACGAGCUCUAGAUAACGAGGCGAAGCAUAUAACGGAUGAAAACGAUCGAAGAUAUCCUCCCGACGCUUAUUAAGGGCGAGACGAACCGAAACCGCAGAAUUUCUGUAUUGGACCGCGAACGAACGGGAACGAAUUUAAUAAAGGGAAAGACGACAGGAGAUUUCUUUGUACCGAAAACGGAUUGAGAAUAAAAGGAACGAAGAGAGAAUGGAUUCUUUUGUCACGAGUACAUCGGAGACGCCAAUCCAUCUCGUAACAUCCGCGCGUGUGCGUGUACCGUCCUGUGUGCGUAAUUUUAUUCUUCCGCAAAUAUGGAUAGGUCUGACUCACACUCGCGGUCUAAUCGUCCGUUCAACGCGAACCACGUAACGUACGGAUCGUUGAAUUUUUAAUCCCCCGUCGAUCGUUUCGUCCAAUUAUAUUAUCGCCCCGAAAUCUCGUCGAACUCGGAUCGGAAAUAUCGGAAGGAAAUUUUUUUUCGCGCGACGAAUAAUUUUUUAUACCGUACGUCGCGUCACCCGGAUCGCGAUUGUCGAGGAUUCGAAACCACGAACGUUCAAAGGUCGCCGGGAGGAAUCGCGACGUAAUCCUCGGCAGUUAGUUCGCUGAAUUUCUAUAUAAAGCAGGUCGAAGUAGCGCACACCGCGCUCCCAUUUGCUACGUACGGUACACGGUUCUAUACGUAGGUAGAUGAAGCUGCGACGUUUGUUCGCGAAUUUAAUUUGCCAAUUCAGCCCGACGUCCAUCCAUUUCCAGUUUUCCCGCAUAUGACGGAUAAAUUUUGCGGAUUCAGCGAGUAACCGAGACGAUUUUGCCGCGUCUCGUCGGACCUCAGCUGGUAGAAUUUUCUUUCACUCUCAAUUAGAACUGGUUUCGUUCGGCGUUUCUGCAAAACGGGGAAAGAAAAAAAGGUGCGAAAGUUUUCGCGGCUGAACACCGGUUGACGUUUCCUACACGUGCGGAAAAUUCGCACGUUCCUUAUACCCGUUUUACGAGCAACAUCGGAACGCGUCGAAUUUACUGCCCAGUUAGAUUUCGAUAUCGGAUAAAGCUCGGGCUCCCCCUCCUUUAUUUCAGUCCACGUUCAUCCCCGCGAAUUUAAUCCUCUGACACGGAAUAACCUGCGAAGGUAACGCUGAGCGGGGUAAGUUUGGAAUCUGGUGUCUAGUAGGACAUCAAAUUCGAACAAUCGAAAUUCGCGUGUCGGACACCAAGGAGUUUUUUUCAAAAUCGCACAAUUGAUUUUGUUUUUUAUUUCAUCUCCCUUCUUUCUUAUACGGUGGGGACGGUAUCCCGCGGCUGAGGAAGUUGCGCGGCGUCGAAAGCUCCACAUUUGAUCCAAGCUGUUAUUUACACAAGCGCGGUUCUGCGCCGCGAGCUUUGGGACCCUGCGGGCUGAAGAUCCGGCGAAGGGUGCGACCGACAGUGAAGUAUUUAAUAGCUGCUGCGACUGACUCGACCCUCGCGAAGUAGGUAGGUACGUCGAGAGAGUGUUACAGAUAUGAUAUAAAUUUUGGGGGAGCAAGAAAAAAUAAAAAAAAGCGCGCACAAAAACGAAAGAAACGAGAGAAAGAGUGUUUGAUUUCUUUCGCGGCUUCGGGAAAUGAAGUUUUUUUUUUUUUUUUCGUCUGUCUCUUUUCGUUUUUUCUCGCCUCGCACCAAAAAAUGAUCCAUACGUGAUGGCGAAGUAAAGUACGCGGGGGUUGUUCGACCGUAUAAAUUGAAUUUUUAUCAAUUGAAAUUCAAAACGCAAUUCCUACGGGUUAUAUAACGCUGAUCACACCGCGUCAACGGAAUAGAAAUUUCGCAAAAGUCGCCGUGCCGGGGUGUGCACCAUGUAUGAAUAUGACUUCCCAUGUACUCCUUAUGUACACCGUGUACGGUGAAAAGGUGCAGCCGGUAUAUAAAACAUGUGAAAUGUUUUUGGGGAUUUUGAAAAUCAGUACCCUUUCGUCGUCAACGAGUGAACGGUGUUGAAUCUUUUCUCCCUUUCCCGCCCUUCCUUACUCCGAUUCUUCCUUUUUCUUUUUUUUUUUCUCUUCUAUAUUCCGUACGACGUUCGAACGCCCAAAGGGGCGAAAGGAUUCCGCUAAGAGAGGGUUGGACGCGGAUCCGUAACACCGUGGAAAUAACUUCCAGGGAAUUCUAUAUUUUUUUCGUUUUUUCUUUGCUUUUUCAUUUCUUAUAAAAAGCAGCACUUUCUCACUCUUCGGCGGAGUUCUCGUCGUCUUUGUAUGAGUCGUCGGAAAAAAAAAUGUCUCGGUAUCAGAAAUAUAAUUUCUCCGAAGAUCCGUCUCUCGAUUGUCCGGAUUCGAGAAAUCUGAGGGAAACUGUCAUCGAAAAGAGAGGUGGAAAAAUUUCCCAUUACACUGAGAAGAGAAAAUACGAAUCCCUCAAAAGUUAAAAAUCACAAAAAAAAAUGGACAGCCGAGCGUGUAACUGCGUCUCGUUCCUGCCACGAUAAUGAUAAAAAUAAUGAUAAUCCUAAUUAUGUUAACGGAAACGAAAAAAGACGAAUUUCUACUUACGUACACACGUACGGUAUACAUUUCGCUAACGAGCUAUGUAUUGAGAUUAUAUACGUUAAAUUAAAAUUAGGUCAGUAUCCGACGACAAAA